This 326-nucleotide ribosomal RNA is filed under the name uncultured eukaryote. RNAcentral describes it as "partial 18S ribosomal RNA". It matches the Rfam family "Eukaryotic small subunit ribosomal RNA", at positions 1470 to 1796 of the family's 1831-position model. The record is from RNAcentral.
CCCUUAGAUGUUCUGGGCUGCACGCGCGCUACACUGAUGCACUCAACGAGUUUACGACCUUGCCCGAUAGGGUUGGGUAAUCUUUUUAAAAUGCAUCGUGAUGGGGAUAGAUUAUUGCAAUUAUUAAUCUUCAACAAGGAAUUCCUAGUAAGCGCGAGUCAUCAGCUCGUGCUGAUUACGUCCCUGCCCUUUGUACACACCGCCCGUCGCUCCUACCGAUUGAGUGCUCAGGUGAAUAAUUCGGACUGCAGCAAUGUUUGGAUCCCGAACGUUGCAGCGGAAAGUUUAGUGAACCUUAUCACUUAGAGGAAGGAGAAGUCGUAACA